Molecule: ribosomal RNA, 919 nt
Filed under: uncultured bacterium
Lineage: Bacteria
Description: bacterial SSU rRNA
Rfam family: Bacterial small subunit ribosomal RNA
Source: RNAcentral
GAGUUUGAUCCUGGCUCAGGAUGAACGCUAGCGGCAGGCUUAAUACAUGCAAGUCGAGGGGCAGCGCGGGUAGCAAUACUUGGCGGCGACCGGCAAACGGGUGCGGAACACGUACGCAACCUUCCCAAAACUGGGGAAUAGCCCUCCGAAAGGAGGAUUAAUACCCCGUAACACAAUUAAGAGGCAUCUCUUGAUUGUUAUAGCUCAGGCGGUUUUGGAUGGGCGUGCGGCUGAUUAGGUAGUUGGCGGGGUAACGGCCCACCAAGCCAUCGAUCAGUAACUGGUGUGAGAGCACGACCAGUCACACGGGCACUGAGACACGGGCCCGACUCCUACGGGAGGCAGCAGUAAGGAAUAUUGGUCAAUGGACGCAAGUCUGAACCAGCCAUGCCGCGUGAAGGAUGAAGGCCCUCUGGGUUGUAAACUUCUUUUAUCUGGGACGAAAAAAGGGGAUUCUUCCUCACUUGACGGUACCAGAGGAAUAAGCACCGGCUAACUCCGUGCCAGCAGCCGCGGUAAUACGGAGGGUGCAAGCGUUAUCCGGAUUCACUGGGUUUAAAGGGUGCGUAGGUGGGCAGGUAAGUCAGUGGUGAAAUCUUCGAGCUUAACUCGGAAACUGCCAUUGAUACUAUCUGUCUUGAAUAUCCUGGAGGUGAGCGGAAUAUGUCAUGUAGCGGUGAAAUGCUUAGAUAUGACAUAGAACACCAAUUGCGAAGGCAGCUCACUACGGGAUGAUUGACGCUGAGGCACGAAAGCGUGGGGAUCAAACAGGAUUAGAUACCCUGGUAGUCCACGCCCUAAACGAUGGAUACUCGACAUAUGCGAUACACUGUAUGUGUCUGAGCGAAAGCAUUAAGUAUCCCACCUGGGAAGUACGACCGCAAGGUUGAAACUCAAGGAAUUGACGGGGGUCCGCACA